CUUAAGUAAACACGUAAAAAAAAUUGCUUUAAUUUAUGCUUAUAAAUUUUAUGUUAUCAUUGUCAUACUGUGCUAUUUGUUCAAUAUGUCACUUCGAUAUACGGCAGCAAUACGAGACAAGUGACUACUAUUGACUCAUUCAGGUACAACGGAUCUUCGACACGGAGUACUUUUGUAGGAGUGUCGCACUUCAAAGGUUGAUCGGGUGCGGCCAGUCGAGAGCAUCUCGUCUCAAGACGAAUCGAUAAAAACACUAGAGUAUAUAGUAGCUAUGGAGGAUAAAUUGGAAGAAGAAGAAGAAACGGUGGAUGAAGCUGAAUUUUUGGGAGAUGAGCUAUUGGCGACAGGGGUGCUGGGAAUGGCCGUCCUUGAAGGUGGCCAUGAAGAUCAUUUAACAAAACCAGUAAAUAACAAAAAUCUCAUUGAAAUAACUCCUACAGCUAGUGAUGGUGCUACCUAUACAGGCAAUCAUCUCGAACUACCCAUAGACAGAAUAUCACCCCCGUGCCACGUCAAGUUUGAUGCCUCGUAGGCUCAUGGUGAUACGCUGCUGUUGUGACCUGCGUUAUUGAUUGGCGCACCGCGCGACUUACCUCUUGACUAGACUCAGAUCUGGUCAGCAGCUUUAGGGACGUGUCAGACCAUAGGCAAUUGCGGCGUAGGAGGUCGGGUUCCCCAAUCCGAACUGACGAAGUCUCCACCGGAAGUGCCGGACGUGAAUCGCCUUUUUUUCAAAGCUUGGAUACGGGAAAACUGGGUCGAUUGGACAGACCGCACGCGCUUGGAAGUUCAUUAGGAACGCAAUACGAACAGAGUUGCGCAUAAGGCCUCGUUCACUGCAGUGUUCAUUGUAGAGCCUAUCGCGGGAAAGGAGCCGGGCUUCUUUAGGAAACACGCACACAGAUGCCGUACGUGGAGAUGGCGUGGCUUGAAUAAAUAAUGCGCAUCUCCUUCAGUGCAUUGCCACAUAACUAACAAGAACCCGCCUCGCUGGUUUAAAAUUUCAGUAUUGGCAAAAAUGACUAAUAAGAAACUAAUAACCAUUACAACAAGGUACUGAAGAAAAUAGCUAAUCAAUAUGGAAGAUUAAUAGCUGCUUGUAUGGUUACCAUGGUUAAUCGUAGGUUUAUUCGAGAAAUCCCAAAUCUAGCAAAAUUAAUUCAGGUUAGGCCUCUAGUGAAGGUAAGUUCUUAAUGCUAUAGCUAAAAAAGGUACGAAAAACCUGUUCACAACUGCAAAUGCCAAAAACGCCGCUUUAUGGCUUUCGAGGUUCCUCGCCUUAGUCCAUUCACUUCUGAUUCUCUCCUUCCUCUUAUACAUUUGAGGAAGUCCUCCCGAAAACCGACUUCGUCUGGAGGGAAGCGUUCAUUUACUUUUUGUUUGAAAACGCUCCAUUUGUAUAUCCUGGAUACGAUCGUUAGGCCGUACCACAUCAGAGAGGGCCCGCUUAGGUUCUGGCAACUCGCCGCACGAUUCGCCUCUGGGGUGCUAGACGGGCAGUUCCUUCUGGCAAUUUUGUCGGCCGGCUACAGUCAAACCCGAGAGCCCCUGCCCCUCCAACUUGCUGUAAACUUUUUAAGAAACAGCAAGCUAGAUUUUCUAUUCUGUUGCCUUUUAUGGUCCUACCAAGCUGCCAUUAAAAACAUCACAACAACAAGCCUCUACUGUUAGCAACUACCCAUGACUGGCCAAAACCGAAAAUGUAUGUCUACACAUGCAUGGUACUGUACCUAAAUUAUGAUAGGCUUUGACAUGCUGGUUGUGGUAACGGGCAUGCGUUUAUCGCGCUUAUCUGGUAGUACCAAACGAAAGCCGGUUAUUUCUACAACAAAACAAUAAACUCCAAUUCGAGAUUUUCUCAGUUUAAACAAAGACUACCUAUUAUUAAAUCUCUAGA
This 1897-nucleotide long non-coding RNA is filed under the name Varroa destructor (honeybee mite). RNAcentral describes it as "uncharacterized LOC111252352". Lineage: Eukaryota; Metazoa; Arthropoda; Arachnida; Mesostigmata; Varroidae. The record is from RNAcentral.